This 2631-nucleotide long non-coding RNA is filed under the name Homo sapiens (human). RNAcentral's name for it is "non-protein coding lnc-ZNF727-17:2". Lineage: Eukaryota; Metazoa; Chordata; Mammalia; Primates; Hominidae. The record is from RNAcentral.
UUUAUAUUGUACCAAAUAGGUAGUUUUUUCAUCCCUCAUCCACCUCCCACUCUCUGCUUCUGAGUCUCCAAAGUCCAUUACAUCACUCUGUAUGCCUUUGCAUACGCAUAGCUUAACUCCCACUUAUAAGUGAAAAAUAAUAGUAUUUUAUUUUCCAUUCUUGAGUUAUUUCACUUAAAAUAAUGGCCUCAUAUCCCUUGCCCUGAAAUUAACAGCCAGCAGGGGUGUCCUCAGUAUCAAAACAAGUCGACCACACAAAGCCGUCAAAGACUCCAGGAACCCAGGUCCAUGGGGUGCAGCCCUGCAAGGUGGAAAAGCUGACCAAGUCUUCCUUCCAGCCAAAUCUGGAAGAAAGGCCCCUUGCCUGGAGCAGUGUUCCUGGUACCCAGGCCUCUGUGGGCAUCCCUCAGCACAAAGACCCUCUCCAAGGGGCAUGGGCCGGCCCUUCCAGGACCACCAGCCCAGCUCCAGAAGCCCAUGGGUCAUCCCCACCCUCACCUGACUGAGCUGUCCCUGAGGCUAAGGCCCAGCAGCAUGAAGAGACUUCCACAGAAACCAGGGCAAUAGGCUGCUCUCUGGCGGCACUGGGGGCUCAGGGUCUGGCUAGCCUGUCCCUGGCUCAAGUCACAUGCCUGGAAAUUAGGGUUUUCUCCUCUGCUCUUAGCAUCUCCUGGGUAAACCAAUAAUUACCCUCCUUCAUGUCUCAAAAUUCACAUCCAUGUAAAAGGCUCUGGUGAGGGUGACAUUUCCAGGAAGCCACAGCCCAUGUCAACCCCCUGCAAAGCUGUGACCUUGUCCGCGGGCAGGUGAGGCGGCGGAGUUCUCCCAAAAGCCGGUGAACUGGCGCUCUGGCUGGAGAGCGCGGAGGGCGGCAGCACAAUGGACAGCGUCUGGGACCUCAGGCCAGUUCCACAGCAGCCUAGGAAAGCAGGCGGCUCCUGUGCUGGAGGAGGCGUGAUGCUCUGGAGGGAAACCGAGCUGAGCAGCGAGAGGUGGGGUGAGGCUGAGACCCGCCCGAUUUAGGCAAAGAUGAGGUGCACUUCGCAGCGUCACACUCUUCUCACUGCCCAGCCCCGACUUGCCCCUUAAGUCCCUCUCUGGACUCACUCCCCUUAGCCAGGGAUGGCACAGAAUCAGUGGCCAGCAUAGGUUUGGAAGCAGAGAGGUCCACACGGCUUGCGCCUCCCUCCGGGACUGCUCACCACCCCGCAGCCCGGCGCUUGCUGGGACUGUAGGCCGGUAGCCCUGCGACCAACAGCCGAAAGCGGUUAAGAAACUACUCCCAGAAUGCCUGGCGAGGCGCGCACCACGCGGCCCCUUCCUCCAGGCAUUCGCACCACCCCCCACUCCCGUUGCAUGCUGGGAUUGUAGUUGAUCGCCUGCGAUCAACGGCCGGAAGCGGCUAAAACUACUCCUGCCUGCAUACCCCGCAGGAGCAAACCGCGCCAUGUCUCCCUCCAGGGAUCCGCACCGCUCACAAUCCUGUUUAGUGCUGGGAUUGUAGUCCUGCGAGCCUACGACUAAUAGCUGGAUUAACUCUUAAGUACUCCACAACUACACGCUUUUGAAACUGGCGUUGGCAUAGCGUUAGUUCUGUGCAGGGCGGACGCAGCAGGACAGAAUCUCCCUGGGCAUCUUUUCGGAGCAUCAAUUUUACUGCAAAAUUUUGAAAAAACAAAUUUAAUUGAUUUCCAAGGUUUGUCAAGGAGGACAGAAACUCAGAGCACCCUGCACUUGGGGAUCGGCACUAGGAGCUGCUCUCUGGAUGGGGAGAUGGGAGCUAGCAGCUCACAAUGGGGUCACAAGACAGGAGUGUUAUUGGGAGAAUCCUGUUUUGUUGACAAAUACUGAGAUCAUCCAACUCACCAGGCAAAGUUGACUUGUGUAAGUGAUCUUCAGAUAUGAAAAGUGUGGAACCCAGCUGCUCCUCCUCAGAUAGGCGACAUGACAAUUGUAGGCCUGGAGGGAGAUGAGUUGACAACAUCCCUUCCCUAUAACCACUUGUUGGAUCUGAUCUCACAUACACAGACUCACUCCAAAGACUGACCUGGGUGUCUGCUUCUCAGCUUCAUUAACAGUGGGUGCUCACAAGUCUAGUGGAGAGAAUGUCUGAGAAGAGGAGGACCUUGACUGCUCCUGAACCGGAGACCUCAGAACCAUGGUGCUCUCCUGUCCAGGCUGAACACUAAUGCUCUUGAGAGUCACAUUGAAGAAAGCCAACAUUUUUAAAUCUAAUGGAUACAUUCAUUUUGUGGUAUGUGAUGUUUAGAAAGAGGGAGCUAAAGUUAGUGGUCAUGAGCUAAAUACCCUGUGAGUAGUAACAGGAUCUUCUACACUGUAGCUGCUUCCAGUGUGAGCCAGACAAAUGUACUGAAUAUAGGCCUCAGAGGUGAUCCCACCACCUUCACAGCAAUGGUCCUUCCCCAGGAGCUUCCCCUGAGAAACGGGCCAUCCAGACCAUACUGCUGCUGGUAAGUUUCUCUGUGGUCCUCUGUUGGGUGGAUUUCAUCAUCUCCUUCUCCUCAGCAAUGUUGUGGGCAUAUGGCCCAAUCAACCAGCAAGUUCAGAGUCUUGUAGUCAAUGUCUAUGCCGUGAUCAGUCCUCUGGUGCUCCUCACUUCAGAUAAAAGAA